AAGGUGGGAUGACGUCAAAUCAUCAUGCCCCUUAUGUUCUGGGCUACACACGUGCUACAAUGGCCGGUACAGACGGACGCAAAGCCGCGAGGUGGAGCAAAUCCUAAAAAGCCGGUCUCAGUUCGGAUUGCAGGCUGCAAUUCGCCUGCAUGAAGUCGGAAUCGCUAGUAAUCGCAGGUCAGCAUACUGCGGUGAAUACGUUCCCGGGCCUU
Molecule: ribosomal RNA, 212 nt
Filed under: uncultured Bacillus sp.
Lineage: Bacteria; Bacillati; Bacillota; Bacilli; Caryophanales; Bacillaceae
Description: partial 16S ribosomal RNA
Rfam family: Bacterial small subunit ribosomal RNA
Source: RNAcentral